RNAcentral lists this transfer RNA (67 nucleotides) under Bulbitermes singaporiensis. RNAcentral describes it as "tRNA-Phe". Lineage: Eukaryota; Metazoa; Arthropoda; Insecta; Blattodea; Termitidae. The record is from RNAcentral.
ACUUGAAUAGCUUAUGUUUAGAGCGCGACACUGAAGAUGUCGAUGAGGUAUAUACUAUCUUUAAGUG